Molecule: RNA transcript, 1550 nt
Organism: Pseudophryne corroboree (corroboree frog)
Lineage: Eukaryota; Metazoa; Chordata; Amphibia; Anura; Myobatrachidae
Gene name: putative nuclease HARBI1
Exons: 3
Source: RefSeq, a predicted model, not a curated record
UUUUAAAGUGUGUGAUGUCAAUAUUUAUUGCUGCCGAAGCCCUACCUCCCCAACCCACGCCAGCACUCCCACCCCAACCGCCAGCCCCACAACCACAACCGGCUCCUCAUCAACCAAGGCAACGGAGGCGUGCUAGGCCACCAAUUUUCCGACCCCGUGUCCUACUUUUUGGGAUGCCAGAUGAUGUGGUUGUACGUAGAUACAGGCUGCCACCACAUCUAAUCCUAGACACUCUCUCCAUAAUAGAGAGUGAUCUGGAGUCUGAAAUUCGGUAUCCUACAGCAAUACCACCAUUGACACAAUUCCUUGCUGUGUUACAUUUUUUGGCUACAGGCUCUUAUCAGCAUGUGGUAGGAGACCUGGUUGGCAUGUCGCAGGGCCAGUUCAGUAAGGUCCUGCGGCGUGUCUGCCAGGCUUUCCUAAAGCGUGUGAAGCAAUUUAUUGCUAUGCCUUUGGAUGUUGGUGCCCUAGAUGUGGUGAAGCGGCAAUUUGAGGAAGGUGGUAGUCGCUUCCCACAUGUUAUUGGGGUUGUGGAUGGCACACAUGUAGCUAUUCAGCCACCAAAACAUAAUGAAGAAAUUUAUAGAAACAGGAAACUGUUUCAUUCUCUGAAUGUAAUGGUUGUUUGUGGGCCAUCCCUCCAGAUCCUUUCCCUGAAUGCAAAGUUUACUGGAAGUUCCCAUGAUGCGUAUGUCAUUAGACAAUCAGGGAUAUGGCACAGAUUAAGAUCAAGUCAACGAGCAGACAUGUGGUUAUUGGGAGACCGUGGAUAUCCUUGCACCCCCUGGCUCAUGACUCCUUACCGUAAUCCCAGGCCAGGACCACAGACGGCAUUUAACUCCGCGCUUACUGCCACUAGGCAGCUGGUGGAGCGCACAAUUGGGGUCCUUAAAGGGCGGUUUCGUGUGCUCCACCGCACUGGUGGCGACAUCAUGUAUUCGCCGGAGAUGGCAAGUAAACUAGUGGUCCUGUGCGCUAUACUACACAACAUCGCGGUAAGGAGUAGCGUAGAGCUUCCUCAGACAGAGGAAUUGCCUGAUGAGGAGCCAGGGGUUGUCCGACACUUCGGUGGGGGGAGUGUUACACGGAGGGGGAGCCAAGUCAGGGCAAGCAUUGUUGCGGAAUAUUUCAGGUAUAGUGUUUUAAGUUUCUCUUUUUUAAUCAAAAUAAAACCACAGUAUGCUUUUGUAUUUUGAUUAAUUUUGUCAUUUUGUUUGCUAUUGUAAGGCCAUUGGGUAAUUAUUUUUUGGCUUUGGAAUAUGUAAUAUUUAUUUGCCACUAAAUCCGUUAACACGUUAAGCUUACAAUGUGUUAUUUGCAAAAACAAUACUGUGAUGUUGCUAAAUAGUGUCCUUAUUUGUUUUCUAUCCUAAAAUCCUGUUUAUUUCAACAAACACACAAACAAAUGAAACUUAAUGUUGUCCACUUUGUGACUGUCCAGCUGAAUGAUCACACAAACUGUGGACGACCACAACGGCAAGCAACACAUGAGGCACCAUCUCAGCCCCCUUCCCCUUCUCACUCCCCCUCCACUUCCCAGUCCCCCUCCC